AUAAUACUCCAUAGAUUAGAGACACUCGAAUGUUCUUUAGUCGAAAGUUCUGGCGCCUUAGGAUGGAUCUGCGGUCGAUUAGGUUGUUGUUGGGGUAACGGCCCAACAAGCCUGUAAUCGAUACGGGUUGUGGGAGCAAGAGCCCGGAGAUGGAAUCUGAGACACGAUUCCAGGCCCUACGGGGCGCAGCAGGCGCGAAAACUUUACAAUGCAGGAAACUGUGAUAAGGGAACUCCGAGUGCCCGUAUACGCGGGCUGUCCAGGUGUUUAAAAAUCAUCUGAAGAAAGGGCCGGGCAAGACCGGUGCCAGCCGCCGCGGUAAUACCGGCGGCUCGAGUGGUGGCCACUAUUAUUGGGCUUAAAGCGUCCGUAGCUGGACCGAUAAGUCUCUUGGGAAAUCCGCCGGCUCAACCGGCGGGCGUCUAAGGGAUACUGUUAGUCUAGGGACCGGGAGAGGUGAGAGGUACUCCGGGGGUAGGAGUGAAAUCCUGUAAUCCCCGGGGGACCACCGAUGGCGAAGGCAUCUCACCAAAACGGCUCCGACAGUGAGGGACGAAAGCUGGGGGAGCGAACCGGAUUAAAUACCCGGGUAGUCCCAGCCGUAAACUAUGCGCGUUAGGUGU
This 623-nucleotide ribosomal RNA is filed under the name uncultured archaeon. RNAcentral describes it as "bacterial SSU rRNA". It matches the Rfam family "Archaeal small subunit ribosomal RNA", at positions 146 to 774 of the family's 1478-position model. The record is from RNAcentral.